AUGACAUCGAAGCAUUCAUCAAAGCUGUCACCAACCACGAACAACACUGUGUCAUCAGCUCAAUGCCUGUUUGAUGUCAUUAAGUACAGUAUAAACAACAGUGGCCCUAGCACGCUUCCUUGUGGUACUCCAAGAUUUACUGACGUUUCUGGCGAGACCGCGCUGUUGUAUUUCGUGACCUGCUUCCGGUUGUCUUGGUAGCUGAUGAACCAUCUCAGCACCGUACCUCGAAUCGCGCUUUUCUGCAGAACACCAAUCAGUUUCUUCCGGUCAAUGGUUUCGAAGGCACGCUUCAAAUCCACGAAUACUGAAAGAACAAUGCUUCCUUCUUCAAUGCACUGCUUCCACUUCAGCAACAGGAGGUUCAGCGCCGAUUCACACGAAUGGUGCCUCCGGAAACCAGAUUGUUCUUUCAGCAGCAUGCCAGUUCGAUCAAUGAACGACAUUAACUGUUCCUUCACGAUUGUCUCCAUUACUUUCUCGUACAGCGGCAGCAUGUUGAUCGGUCUGUGGCCUUCUGGCUUCUUGGAUCUUGGAACUUUUGAGAUGGGAACCACUAAAGUCUUCUUCCAUGCGCCUGGGAAUUCCCCACGUGCAAGUGAUUUGUUCACUAUAUCCAACAGAUCUACUGCAACCACGUCCAGAGCAUCCAUCAUGACCCGUUUUGUGGCAUUUCGAACUCCAGCACAAUCCUUCAGUGACCGAACUGUUUCCUUCAGCUUGCUUAGCGUGAUUGGCUCAAACUUACUCAUCAGUAAAUGUCGUCGGUGGAAUUCCUUCGUGUAUCUCCUCCACACUCCGAACAAAGAAGUUGUUCAAAAGCCUAGCCGUUUCAGCAUCUCCUCGUGGCUUUCCGAACACUAUCUCCGUUGCUGGCUGUCCUCCAGGCUGAAUCAGUGACUUCAAACACCUCCAUAGCUUUUUUGAAUCUCCACCGCAACUCCUGAUUUCACUGUUGAUUGACGAAUUCUUUGAUGUGCGAAUUUGGUUGACGUAUUGAUUUCUGCAAUGUUUGUACGCAUCCCAAUCACUGGCCGCCUUGGUGAUCUUAAACUUCCGUCGUUUAGGUCUACUCGUUCAUCAAUGCGGACGUCGAUGAGACUUCCAACUGCUGCCACCAAACCUGCAUCAAACUCUUUUCCCGCGUCGUCGACUGAAUCCGUAGGUAUCGAACGACUUCGGUUCGAACGAAGAAUUUCCUGCAGUUUCUCUUUAGAGUACCGGCUCCAACUUACCCGGGUCUUGUUGCGUUCAGCCAGCUCCUCCAAGACACGUGCGUUUCCACCCUCCAUGUUUGAAAAAAAAAACGAGGUCUAUCAUCGUGCUGCUGCUCGGUCCAACACGAGUCGGUUCAGAAACCAGUUGUUUCAUUCUCAAUGCCUCCGUGACGUUUCUCAAUUCCCGUGAAAAUCCUGGUUAAAAUCGCCAGCGAAAACAUUUGCCUUUUCGUCUACAAAAACACUCCGAAGCCAUGUUUCCAGACUAUCGAUGAAACUGAUGUCACUGCU
Molecule: long non-coding RNA, 1508 nt
Organism: Culex quinquefasciatus (southern house mosquito)
Lineage: Eukaryota; Metazoa; Arthropoda; Insecta; Diptera; Culicidae
Exons: 3
Source: RefSeq, a predicted model, not a curated record